Molecule: ribosomal RNA, 469 nt
Filed under: Onchocerca sp. 'Siisa'
Lineage: Eukaryota; Metazoa; Nematoda; Chromadorea; Rhabditida; Onchocercidae
Description: partial 12S ribosomal RNA
Source: RNAcentral
UGCGUUUUAAUUUUUGACUCUAUUUGUUGUGGUGCUAUGAGUUUUUAUUUUGUUUUUAUGUUGUUUUUUGUAAAAUGUUUUAAUUUUUUUUAGUUUCUUGUGGUAUCAAAAAUUUGUUUUUUGAACUGGAUUAGUACCCAGGUAAUCAAAAUUUAAUAAUUCGGGAGUAAAGUUUUGUUUAAACCGAAAAAAUAUUGACUGACUUUAGAUUUUUCUUUGGAAUAUGUGAUUUGCUGGAGAGCCCUCUUUUUUGGUGAAUUUUGUUGGCACAUGUAUGAUUGUUUAGUUUUUAUUUUAUUUUGUAAUGCUUUGUUGUUUUGGCAUUAAAAACAGAUAUAUAUUUGGCUUAUGAAUUUAUGUUUCAUGUGUUACUAUUAUGAAUUUUUUUUGGAUUAGUUUUUUAUUUUUUUUUGAAAUUGGAAAAGAAAGUAAUUUUUUCUUAAUGUUUUAAUGAAUUUAAUAAAUAAGG